Molecule: non-coding RNA, 1201 nt
Organism: Physcomitrium patens
Lineage: Eukaryota; Viridiplantae; Streptophyta; Bryopsida; Funariales; Funariaceae
Source: RefSeq, a predicted model, not a curated record
GUUUGUUGUUGGGUUCUAUAAUCUGUGCGGGCGGGCGCAUAGGAUUGGCCUUACGCAGGGCGCGAGGGUUGGCGGAAACGGCUCGGAUUGUGCACAGAAUCCGUCCCACCGUCCACCGAUUCUCGUAUCUACCCUUCACUGAAAUCCUGGUGUCGCCAGGUGACAGAUUUUGCAUGCCUCCUCAGGCUGUGGUACAGCUUGCCCUUGAUCCGGAAAGGUCUUUAAUGGUAGCGUCUCAUCAUAGCGGGAUGUGGUCCACGCCCAAGCACUCGAUUCCAGCCCGUGGAAAGGCCAAAGGGGUGGCUUAGAUGUGUGCCCGCGGAGGUGUGUGUGCCGUGAGAGCCAAUUACACAAUGCCCACAGAUCUGGACUGCCCUGUUUCGUUGAGAUUGAGGCGUCGUUCAUAGAGUUGAGUUUCAAGCUGUGUGUAUAGCAGUGAAUUCAUUGUGAAAUGCUGCACAUGGACUUUUCUUGGAGCGAUGUUGGAGUUCCUUCGGUGUGGUGUUGCAAUAUUUGUGAUGCUAAUAUGGUCUUGUCAAUGUUUAGGGGCAAAGGCCUGAUUAUGCAGAUGCUUGGUGUAAGCUUAUGCUUGUACAACUUUUGCUAUUGGCCUCCACCCCUAAAUCUUGGCAAGACCUAAUUAGCCCACAACAUUGAAUUGACCGGGACCGGCGACUAAUCAGUACGAGCUCAAGCAGGAAGGCGUUCGGAGUCAGAAACAUGAAAAGCCUAAAUGUUUCGUUUCUCGUGAGCAGUGAGAACGUUAACACGGCUUGCGACCUUGAUACCCACCACCAAGUUCAAUGAGAAUGUAACUAAGUUACCCUUAUGCAAUGUGCAUGGAUAUCGGCUUCCUGGUAUGUAAAAGAUUGCUAGUUUGUUGCAUAAACCUGCUACGUCAUAUUGACAGUCUUGUUUGCUAUUCGCCGCGUGUGUUUUCAUCCUCAAGCAAAACACAGUGGUCAGAUUUUAGAUUAGUGCUCGAAAAACGAUGUGGAUGUAAAGUAAUGUGGAUAUGUAGUGAAUAUGCACUGAUAACUGUCUUUGUGGAACAAAUCUUUCAGUUUACCGCUUUUGUUCCCGAGUCUUGCAUUGUGGAUUUAGGUUAUAUAUCUCAAUUAGUUAGCGCCUUGGGUUUGUUAUUUUAAUGCAUCUGAAAUUCUAUGUGCAACCUGCAAUAAAUCUACAAAUUAAAUAGGAA